AAUAGAUACCCCGGUAGUCCUGACAGUAAACGGUGCACGUUUGGUGUGGGGGAUUCGACCCCUCCUGUGCCGGAGUUAACACGUUAAACGUGCCGCCUGGGAAGUACGAUCGCAAGAUUAAAACUCAAAGAAAUUGACGGGGACCCGCACAAGCGGUGGAGUAUGUGGCUUAAUUCGAUGCAACGCGAAGAACCUUACCUAGGCUUGACAUGCACUGUGUCUCCGGUGAAAGCCGGAUAGUGUAGCAAUACACGCUUUGCACAGGUGCUGCAUGGCUGUCGUCAGCUCGUGUCGUGAGAUGUUGGGUUAAGUCCCGCAACGAGCGCAACCCCCGUGAUUUGUUGCCACCGGAGCAAUCCGAGCACUCGAAUCAGACUGCCCAGAUCAACUGGGGAGGAAGGUGGGGAUGACGUCAAGUCCGUAUGGCCCUUACGCCUAGGGCUGCACACGUACUACAAUGCCCAGUACAAUGUGAACCGAGACCGCGAGGUGGAGGAAAUCUAUAAAACUGGGCUCAGUUCAGAUUGCG
Molecule: ribosomal RNA, 529 nt
Filed under: uncultured bacterium
Lineage: Bacteria
Description: bacterial SSU rRNA
Rfam family: Bacterial small subunit ribosomal RNA
Source: RNAcentral